CCUACGGGAGGCAGCAGUGAGGAAUAUUGGUCAAUGGCCGGAAGGCUGAACCAGCCAAGCCGCGUGAAGGACGAAGGUGCCAAGCAUUGUAAACUUCUUAUGUCAAGGGACAAAAUCAGGCUCGAGAGCCUGACCGAGGGUACUUGAAGAAAAAGCAUCGGCUAACUCCGUGCCAGCAGCCGCGGUAAUACGGAGGAUGCGAGCGUUAUCCGGAUUUAUUGGGUUUAAGGGGUGCGUAGGCGGACUGUUAAGUCAGCGGGAAAAGCCCGGGGCUCAACCCCGGCAAGCCGUGGAAACUGGCUGUCUUGAGAUGUCGAGAGGUAUGCGGAAUGCGCAGUGUAGCGGUGAAAUGCUUAGAUAUUGCGAAGAACUCCGAUUGCGAAGGCAGCAUACCGGCGGCGAUCUGACGCUGAGGCACGAAAGCGUGGGUAUCGAACAGGAUUAGAUACCCUGGUAGUC
Molecule: ribosomal RNA, 459 nt
Filed under: uncultured bacterium
Lineage: Bacteria
Description: partial 16S ribosomal RNA
Rfam family: Bacterial small subunit ribosomal RNA
Source: RNAcentral